RNAcentral lists this ribosomal RNA (391 nucleotides) under uncultured bacterium. RNAcentral describes it as "partial 16S ribosomal RNA". It matches the Rfam family "Bacterial small subunit ribosomal RNA", at positions 524 to 918 of the family's 1533-position model. The record is from RNAcentral.
UACGGAGGAUCCCAGCGUUAUCCGGAUUUAUUGGGUUUAAAGGGUGCGCAGGCGGCCAUUUAAGUCAGCGGUUAAAUCGUGGGGCUCAACCCCAUUCUGCCGUUGAUACUGGGUGGCUUGAUUGCGGUCGAGGUUGGCGGAAUUCGUUGUGUAGCGGUGAAAUGCAUAGAUAUGACGAAGAACACCGAUUGCGUAGGCAGCUGACCAGACCGCAAAUGACGCUCAUGCACGAAAGUGCGAGGAUCGAACAGGAUUAGAUACCCUGGUAGUCCGCACAGUAAACGAUGAAUACUUGUUUUCGGCGAUAUAAUGUCGGAGGCAAAGCGAAAGCGAUAAGUAUUCCACCUGGGGAGUACGCCGGCAACGGUGAAACUCAAAUGAAUUGACGGGG